This 814-nucleotide ribosomal RNA is filed under the name uncultured beta proteobacterium. RNAcentral describes it as "bacterial SSU rRNA". It matches the Rfam family "Bacterial small subunit ribosomal RNA", at positions 54 to 917 of the family's 1533-position model. Lineage: Bacteria; Pseudomonadati; Pseudomonadota; Betaproteobacteria. The record is from RNAcentral.
CAUGCAAGUCGAACGCACCGCAAGGUGAGUGGCGAAAGGGUCAGUAAUACGAUCGAACGUGCCCAGAGGUGGGGGAUAGCGUCGGGAAACUGACGGUAAUACCCCAUGUGCUCGCAAGAGGAAAGAUUUAUCGCCUCCGGAGCGGCGAUCGUCCUAUCAGGUAGUUGGCGGGGUAAUGGCCCACCAAGCCUUAGACGGGUAGCAGGUGUGAGAGCACGACCUGCGACAUCGGGACUGAGACACUGCCCGGACUCCUACGGGAGGCUGCAGUAACGAAUCUUCCGCAAUGGGCGAAAGCCUGACGGAGCAAUGCCGCGUGUGGGAUGAAGCGUCUCUGACGUGUAAACCACUGUCAGGGGGUGGAACCAAUGAUUACCCCCAGAGGAAGUGGCGACUAACUCUGUGCCAGCAGUCGCGGUAAUACAGAGGCCACGAGCGUUAAUCGGAAUCACUGGGCUUAAAGGGUGCGUAGGCGGCUCAUCAAGCGUCCCGUGAAAUCCCCCGGCUCAACCGGGGAACAGCAGGGCGAACUGAUGAGCUUGAGGGAGGUAGGGGCUGACAGAACAGUCGGUGGAGCGGUGAAAUGCGUAGAUAUCGACUGGAAUGCCGAUGGGGAAGCCGGUCAGCUGGGCCUUACCUGACGCUGAGGCACGAAAGCGUGGGGAUCAAACAGGAUUAGAUACCCUGGUAGUCCACGCCCUAAACGAUGUCAACUGGUUGUUGGGUCUUCACUGACUCAGUAACGAAGCUAACGCGUGAAGUUGACCGCCUGGGGAGUACGGCCGCAAGGUUGAAACUCAAAUGAAUUGACGGA